AAGCGACCUCGCGAGAGCAAGCGGAACUCAUAAAGUACGUCGUAGUCCGGAUUGGAGUCUGCAACUCGACUCCAUGAAGUCGGAAUCGCUAGUAAUCGUAGAUCAGAAUGCUACGGUGAAUACGUUCCCGGGCCUUGUACACACCGCCCGUCACACCAUGGGAGUGGGUUGCAAAAGAAGUAGGUAGCUUAACCUUCGGGAGGGCGCUUACCACUUUGUGAUUCAUGACUGGGGUGAAGUCGUAACAAGGUAACCGUAGGGGAACCUGCGGUUGGAUCACCUCCUUA
This 287-nucleotide ribosomal RNA is filed under the name Providencia rettgeri. RNAcentral describes it as "partial 16S ribosomal RNA". It matches the Rfam family "Bacterial small subunit ribosomal RNA", at positions 1247 to 1533 of the family's 1533-position model. Lineage: Bacteria; Pseudomonadati; Pseudomonadota; Gammaproteobacteria; Enterobacterales; Morganellaceae. The record is from RNAcentral.